AUGGACAACAAAACCACACUGUCCAUGAGGAAGAAGUCGCGCUGUUGUUCUCCAAGCAAAAGACUAAAUGCACAUGCUGUCUGGCAGUUUUCUAGCCAAAAUAUGACACAAAUUCCCUUGGACAGCUUAGGUAUGUAUGACUUGAAGUCUCUUUCUUCUCGUUCUAUGAGGUGGAGGUCAUUUUGCCAGGUUUUUUUCCCUACUAUGCUUUUACUAUUUGAUAGCUGUCACUGCCAGUUUUCACAAACACUGUCAAAUCUAAUUUAGACAUUUUUUCCUAUGUAUACAUUAAAAAUAGUUAGAAUUAUCAUACUAGUGAUUUAUCUUCAACUUCUUAAUUCAAGUAUUGUGAAGAAAAGUGAUGUCAUCUCCAAAAUUGGAUGAAAUAUAUCCAACUUACAUUUUUUCCAAAUUUUGCAUUAUGCAUCUUUAAAAAGGACUCUAAUGAAAAACUAGUGGAAUUUUU
This 466-nucleotide long non-coding RNA is filed under the name Phasianus colchicus (ring-necked pheasant). Its description in RNAcentral is "lncRNA (ENSPCLG00000008010.1)". The record is from RNAcentral. Lineage: Eukaryota; Metazoa; Chordata; Aves; Galliformes; Phasianidae.